GGCUCAGGACGAACGGCUGGCGGCGUGCCUAACACAUGCAAGUCGAACGGACGAGAGGAGCUUGCUCCUCAAGUUAGUGGCGGACGGGUGAGUAACACGUGAGCAACCUGCCCUUCGAGGGGGACAACAGCUGGAAACGGCUGCUAAUACCGCAUGAUACAGCGGGGAGGCAUCUCCUUGCUGUCAAAGAUUUUAUCGCCGAAGGAUGGGCUCGCGUCUGAUUAGAUAGUUGGUGAGGUAACGGCCCACCAAGUCAACGAUCAGUAGCCGGACUGAGAGGUUGAACGGCCACAUUGGGACUGAGAUACGGCCCAGACUCCUACGGGAGGCAGCAGUGGGGAAUAUUGGGCAAUGGGGGGCAACCCUGACCCAGCAACGCCGCGUGAAGGAAGAAGGCUUUCGGGUUGUAAACUUCUUUGACGAGGGACCCGAUAGUGACGGUACCUCGAAAACAAGCCACGGCUAACUACGUGCCAGCAGCAGC
Molecule: ribosomal RNA, 484 nt
Filed under: uncultured bacterium
Lineage: Bacteria
Description: bacterial SSU rRNA
Rfam family: Bacterial small subunit ribosomal RNA
Source: RNAcentral